CGGACAAGAGAGUACGUCCGCAAGGACCCGCAAGGACCCACCAGCCUGGGAUCUCCUCGUCUCACAUCUCUCCCACUCCCGAGACCUGCGUCGCCGCCGCCACCUCCGCCGCCGCCGCCGAAAUCCGCAGUGGUGCACAACCCGCCGACCCCCUUGACGCUCUCCCUCUUCUCCUUGGCCAGGUGCACUUCAAAGGCUUUGAUGCCGCGGUGGAUGGCCUUGCCGUCGGUAUCCGAGGAUCUACUCCAGUGGGACAUGUAGCCCUCUCGCUCCUCGCCUCCACCCUCGCCGGGGCCGACGCACCGAGGACAGCAACGAGGCAAGCGUCAGGUGUAACCGUGCCAAUGGCUAUGCAGAGUUCAAGUUUUUUCCACAUGUAGCAGCAACAAGAGAUGCUAUCAGAAGGCCCCAUGAGGUAUCAAGUUCACACCGGAAGAAGCUAGCCGUUUAUUGGAAGAAGCUACCAGUUCUUGUUUAUUCAUGCUGAUGUAACAUAAUUCUAAUUUGAAUUCGAUUGAUGAUAGAAAACACGGUUGUUCUGAGUAUGAAUGCCCCUUUUGACUUUUAUUUUGUUUCAGUAUUUUGUUUUUGUCAACUAUACUCGAUGCUUAUUGGUUUAAUCAAAUGGAGUUGCACCG
Panicum virgatum (switchgrass) is the source of this 638-nucleotide long non-coding RNA. RefSeq lists it as uncharacterized. Lineage: Eukaryota; Viridiplantae; Streptophyta; Magnoliopsida; Poales; Poaceae. The record is from RefSeq and is a predicted model, not a curated record. The transcript has 3 exons.